Molecule: RNA transcript, 2516 nt
Organism: Tachyglossus aculeatus (Australian echidna)
Lineage: Eukaryota; Metazoa; Chordata; Mammalia; Monotremata; Tachyglossidae
Gene: KIZ
Gene name: kizuna centrosomal protein
Exons: 16
Source: RefSeq, a predicted model, not a curated record
CGGAGGCAUCAUGGCCGGGGCCCCCGACCCUUCUUCUCCUCCGGCCCCCGCCCUGCCCGGCCGCCACUACCGCGAGAGGCUGGGACAACUCCAGCGAGGCCUGCGGGCCAGUGAAAAGAAGAGAUUAGACCUGGAAAGAAAACUCUACGAAUAUAGCCAAUCUGAUGCGUACCUAGCUAAAGUGAAGUACAUGAAACUGAAGAAAUAUCUGGAUGAAAUAUGCGAGGCGGAAAGAAGGGCUCAGGUGCGAAACCAAGAGUAUUUAAAGGAAUUUGAGCGCAUUGAAAACCACAUUAGAAGUUUCACCACAAGUACAGAGAAGCUGCAAAAACUGAAGAUGGAAUGUGAGUUCCAAAUUAGGAGGAUGCCGCUACAUUCAAAAAAUAAUACUUGGAUGAAAGAUGAACCCAAAGGAAACAGCCAGGAGCAGGGGCUGCAAGUUGUGAGACAGGCAGGAAUUAACACCAAGACAGCCGUGUCAAGAGGAUUGUAUCAUCGGGAUGAAAUCUUUAUGGGCCGCCAAAUGUCAGCCAUCUCAAGCCUUGAAGAUUUUAGUACACGGCAGAAAUCUUCCCAGCCCACAAAGAGCUUUUCAAUUCCUGACCCACAUUCACGCCGACAGACAGCACAGAGCAGCAACGUGACAGACAGCUACGUAGUCCAAACUAAUAGUGAUAUAGUGUGCUCAAAUAAGCCUGACAAAAUAGAUGGGAAGGCAUCUCUUCAGAUGGGUGAGGAAAUGCCAGUCACAUCCAGUAUAUCACCUGAGGAGGUACAAACUCAUUGCUUAGAGAUAGAAAGCAACACAAAUAACGGCAAGAGUAAUUUCCCUGAAAGCAAGAAACCCGCUGAACUCAAUUCCCCGGUACAGAAAAGAUUAAGUCCGGAGAACAGCACGACUGAUUUAAAGUGUGACAGUUCGAGCGGAUCAGAGGGAACCCAGGGAGGAGCACCGUCACGCGCGUGUGCUGAAGUAAAGGAAGUAAGAACGGAGCGGUCCCUCCCCGUGGCGCCAAGCCUGAUGCGUGGAGUUUCUGAAAAUGAGCACGCAGAAGGAAAUCAUCGUGCCUGGGAAAGUUCCUUGGGUAGGAAGAACCACCGUAUUGAUGCCAACCAGCGGCCCUUUCUAAACAGGCCAGAGCAGGAAGAGGACAAUUUCAGCAGCAGCAGCAGCAGCAGCAGCAGCAACCUCACGGUUUCCGUGAGUGAGGAUGAUUGGGCCCCAAGUGAUUCAGAACUCCAGCCCAAUCUGGGUGAUGAUGUGGGCGGAAUCAGUGAGGAGUUAAUCCAUGUGGAGCAGGAAAAAGAUGCCCUGUCCGCCAAAAACAGUAAUUGCGAUCUACAGACUCUAAGCUCCCAGGCGUCAGAAAAGGAGUCUUCAGGCAAUUCACCAAAAAGAGAGGUGUGUUUAUCAUUCCGAGGUUUUUCGCACUUGCUGCAGUUCAUAGAAGACCAGGUGGAACAAGCUAACACUAAGCAUGUGGAACUCUAUCAAGCUGCAGCCCUUAACACCGAAAAACUGAACAGGCUAAUUAACCUUUGUAAUCAAACUGGCAUUUUGAAAGAAGAAGACCUUGAAGCAUGUGGUACAGUUGUCCUUCACCAGUUUCAGACAUUGUUGGAGUGCAUAUCAGCUAAACGCCUCUUACCUGAACACGAUCUUAUUGACAGAAGGAGCACCAUGGAUGAGAAACCAGUCAGAUUGGAGCAACCCCCAGAUUCGGUCUCAUUUCGGAAACGUUUAUGCCAGCAUGUUUAUACCCUAAAAAAGUACAAGGUUUCUCUCCAAGAGGAUGUAGCAAAGAUGUUUGAAACGCUACUAGCAGCAGAAAGCGAUGACCAAAGUCCCACGGCUACAGCAUUAUUGAAAAAGGCCCUUACAGAAGAGUGUGAAGAUAGGUCGUCUAUUCACGGUAAUGAUUCAUCUUGUAGCUUGCUAUCUAUUCUGAAUGACAAUAGUGGAAUAAAGCAAGCCAACCCCACUCAAUGGCUCCACAGCCUUGGUACAAAGGAACAAGAAGCCCCAAGCCGGUGUGAAGAUGAGAGCAAGGAAGAAAGCUUAGAAGAGAAGAUUCCUAUUACAGAGACAAAAGCAUAUCAAUUGCUGAAGCUGUCCACCUUGCGGGCUGGUGAGGACCAAACUAGAGGAAAGAAUCCAAAGAAAAAGGCAGGCGACUCCAAAUUGCAAGUGCCAGUGACUACCAUAGGCUUGGAUAAUGGCAGCCAAACUUUCAAGACAAAGACAAGUAACCAAAUCGGUUCAGAAGCUGUUUUUUCAUCCGGGGAAGGAAGUCCUUUGUCAAGAUUUGUUAAACUGCUGCACUUCUCAGGUCUUUGAACGACGGGCUGUGGUGGCUGUCUCUUGAAUUUUUCAUCGGCAUGAAAUACUAAUCAAAUCGUGGCAAUCAAAUUACCGGUCAGGAAUCCGUAGGCCCGAAAGCCGAAGGGGAAGAGUCACCAGUGUAAAAUCCAAAGCUUUCUGGGGUGAAUCAGAUGACAGCAACUCAGACAUCGAA